This 2216-nucleotide long non-coding RNA is filed under the name Olea europaea subsp. europaea. Lineage: Eukaryota; Viridiplantae; Streptophyta; Magnoliopsida; Lamiales; Oleaceae. The record is from RNAcentral.
AGCUAGUUUGUUUGUGUUUGUAAAACUUAUGUAAUCGGAUGAUAUUAUGUUUAAGUUAUCAAAAUGUAUCGCAAGCGAUAUCUAGAUACUGUGUGCUUGUCAACAUUUUGGACUGCGUCUUCACUUGGAUUUAAACUGGAACCAAAUUCCCACAUAAUCUAGUCCCAUAUUAUUUCCUAAAACUCAUCAUUAGUAUGUUUUAAAACAAAUGAAUAAUAAUAAAAAAUUAUCUACUCCCAUAUUAGCUUAUAAUAGCCGCAAACAAAAGCAAUCUACAAACUUCAGAUACAAAUUUCCACAUGCUGCUUCAAUAUGAAAAAUCAUCUAUUCCCCCAACCUGCUUAAAUACAAACUUCAGAUUAUUACAAACUUGAUAUUACUUCAAUGCUCUAUUGAGUCCCAAUAAUUUGUGAUGCUUGAGAAGUUAUGUUAUGAACUUGUGCCACUUGACAUUGUCUUUCGACCUAUUAUAUCUAUUCGAAACUGUGGAUUUCAAAGGUAUCUAUACAUGAUGCAUUUAAUAAAUAAAUCAAACUUGUAUCAAAUGAAUAUUGAAUCAAAAGGCAAGAGAAUGAUGAAGUGUUGAAACAUUUUUAUGACCCUUUGAUUUCUCUGAAUUCAUCUCCAAUGGACUUCUUUUUGAAGUUUUUCCGACACAACUUUACUUUUUCUAAAGUUUGGAUCCAUAAUGUUUCAGCUUUCAGCAUUGCCAAGUUCAUUCCCAUGUGUCCCAACAAUAUUACGUUUUGAUUUAACUAAUUCGUUUGCUUGGAAUUAGAUCCAUCCAAACAAAUAUUUAGACCAUUAUUUAUUUGUCACUACCAAGUCUACCAUUUUGUAAAAGCGACACACAACUACUCAUAUCUCAAUUGUUCGCCAAUACUAACCAAACCAUCGUACGUGGUAAGGACACAUAUAUGGCCUACUGACAUCUUGCCUCCAUAUCCUCAAAACAUACUUAUUGGGAGCAAUGAGACAUUGUUCUGGAUUAAAACUGAGAUUACGUGUUUGUAAUUGAUACCUCAAAACUCAAACAAAUGACAAUUGCACUCAAUCUCACAUAUGUCUCUCGAAAACAAACAGUAAAUUUUUUUCUUCAUUCCUUCAUUGAUAAUGAUAGUCUUAAGGACCUUAUACUUUGUUAGCCCACAAAAGUCUUCCACACAUAGUACUUCACAAUGAACUUUUCCUAUGAAUUGUUGUUGGAACUCCCUGAAUUUUGAUAUUAUCCAUAUUAUACUUCAUAGCACAGGAAACCAUUUGUGAGAAUGAUCUAUAAUCAACAUGAAAUUCCUUCUAAACUUUACUUCUCAACGCAUGCUUAUAUUGCUUUAUGAAAAGCUUUAAAAGAUACUUUUGAAUGCACAUAGCCAUUCAAACAAAGCAUUCAUGCUCUCAUCCCGUUGGAUGGUUGAGGUGCCUGCCUAAAUAUACAUUUCUAAUAGCAUGGCACCACUUCUCUCAUUAUAAAUUACAAUCAUCCACACAUGAACUUACAAUUCCUAAUGUUCAACCAUAUUCAACCAACCUUUUUCAAAAUCUUCGCAACUAAGUGUGGUCAUACACUAACCAAUGUAUAACAUAAAGUAUUGACCCUUUUUCUCUAAGAUAGCCAAACAUCUUAGGCAAUUUCUUUAGAAUAUGCCACGAGUACAAUCUAUUCCUAGUGUUGGGGAAAAUUAUUUCAAAAGUAUAUUGGACGGCCCAAUCUUGAUCUGUAAUAAUUCCAUUGGGAGCUUGACAUGAAUGCAUUCAAUCCAUGUCCAAAAUACUCGAACAAAUGUAUUUGUAUCUUCAUUUGAAACUGAACCACAUCCAAAUAGAGUUGACUAGCCAUGGUGAUUCAUCAUACAAAAGGAGCAAAAUGUAUAUCAUACUUGUUUGUCAAGUAUCUGGUGUCAAAAGUAAUAACAUCGUCGAAUUCUUUAUACACUUCACUACAUUGGUUAGUUGUCCAAAACAUACUUCUUGAGCGACACUCUUCAUCCAAGUUCAUACUGAAGUAAAAACCUACAUUACAUUCUUGCAUUUUCGAGAAAUAAGCUUGUAUUGUAGCAGCAUCCCCUUCCCCAAUCUUAAACUCCUCACUUUGUCAAUGAAAUUUAUGCAAUCUUUCUCAAUGAAUGUCAUAUAAUCAAAUCCAUCUGCUUCCACUACAGAUAAAUUAUAGCUUUUACGUACUGUUAUUCCUCUUAUAUCAUUCACUUCAAGCCGUC